GUGUUCACUUCGGCAGCACAUAUACUAAAAUUAGAAUGAUACAAAGAAGAUCAGAAUGGUCCCUACUCAAGGAUGACACACAAAUUUGUGAAGCAUUUCAUAUUCCA
Small nuclear RNA from Sorex fumeus (smoky shrew), 107 nucleotides. The record is from RefSeq and is a predicted model, not a curated record. Lineage: Eukaryota; Metazoa; Chordata; Mammalia; Eulipotyphla; Soricidae.